CCUACGGGUGGCUGCAGUGAGGAAUUUUGGUCAAUGGGCGCAAGCCUGAACCAGCCACGUAGCGUGAAGGAUGACUGCCCUACGGGUUGUAAACUUCUUUUAUCACGGAAUAAAGUGAGGCACGAGUGCCUUUUUGUAUGUACUUUAUGAAUAAGGAUCGGCUAACUCCGUGCCAGCAGCCGCGGUAAUACGGAGGAUGCGAGCGUUCUCCGGAUUUAUUGGGUUUAAAGGGUGCGAAGAUGGGUUGUUAAGUCAGUGGUGAAAGUUUGCGGCUCAACCGUAAAAUUGCAAUUGAUACUGGCAGUCUUGAGUACAGUUGAGGUAGGCGGAAUUCGUGGUGUAGCGGUGAAAUGCUUAGAUAUCACGAAGAACCCCGAUUGCGAAGGCAGCUUACUAAACUGCCACUGACAUUGAGGCUCGAAAGCGUGGGGAUCAAACAGGAUUAGAUACCCGAGUAGUC
Molecule: ribosomal RNA, 460 nt
Filed under: uncultured bacterium
Lineage: Bacteria
Description: partial 16S ribosomal RNA
Rfam family: Bacterial small subunit ribosomal RNA
Source: RNAcentral